Molecule: ribosomal RNA, 534 nt
Filed under: Craugastor fitzingeri (Fitzinger's robber frog)
Lineage: Eukaryota; Metazoa; Chordata; Amphibia; Anura; Craugastoridae
Description: partial large subunit ribosomal RNA
Rfam family: Bacterial large subunit ribosomal RNA
Source: RNAcentral
GAGUCAUUCAACGGCCGCGGGUAUACUAACCGUGCAAAGGUAGCGCAAUCACUUGUUCCUUAAAUAGGGACUAGUAUGAACGGCACCACGAGGAUUUAACUGUCUCCCCCCUCCAAUCUGUGAAACUAAUCCCCCUGUGAAAAAGCAGGGAUAAAAAUAUAAGACGAGAAGACCCCAUGGAACUUUAAACAAAUAAUACAUGCUUCCUUACCAUUAAAUUUCCUGAAAACUAAAAACUUAUAAGCAUGCUAAUUAAGAGUUUUCGGUUGGGGUGACCACGGAGAAAAACUCAUCCUCCGCGAUGAAAAUUCUAAACUUAUAAACUAUAAGCUACAGCUUUAAGAAUCAACAAACUGACAUUAUUGACCCAAACUUUUUGAUCAACGAACCAAGCUACCCUGGGGAUAACAGCGCAAUCUACUUCGAGAGCACAUAUCGACAAGUAGGCUUACGACCUCGAUGUUGGAUCAGGGUCCCUGGUGGUGCAGCCGCUCCCAAAGGUUCGUUUGUUCAACGAUUAAAACCCUACGUGAU